This 72-nucleotide transfer RNA is filed under the name Sus scrofa (pig). It matches the Rfam family "tRNA". Rfam says of the family: Transfer RNA (tRNA) molecules are approximately 80 nucleotides in length. The record is from Rfam by way of RNAcentral. Lineage: Eukaryota; Metazoa; Chordata; Mammalia; Artiodactyla; Suidae.
UCCCUGGUGGUCUAAUGGUUAGGGCUUGGCACUUUCACUGCUGAGGCCUGGGUUCCAUCCCUGGUCUGGGAA